GGGUGAAGUAACUCGACUGAAAGGUUUUUUCCUCUCACUUCGUUCGAGCUGGAGUUGGUAGCCUCUAUAGUAUGCUUUAUGCGCUUAGCUCGGGCUGGGUUCAACCAGUCUGCCUCUUCCCUUUCUCUCUAUGCCCAUUGAUAUUUAUCAAAAAGUGGCUUAACGGGGCCAUAGUACAUUGACAUGAAAGACCUUUUGGACAGGCUAAAAAGUAGUCUAUAUCGCUUACAGGAUCAGA
RNAcentral lists this unclassified non-coding RNA (238 nucleotides) under Hevea brasiliensis (rubber tree). Lineage: Eukaryota; Viridiplantae; Streptophyta; Magnoliopsida; Malpighiales; Euphorbiaceae. The record is from RNAcentral.